RNAcentral lists this ribosomal RNA (425 nucleotides) under uncultured bacterium. Its description in RNAcentral is "bacterial SSU rRNA". It matches the Rfam family "Bacterial small subunit ribosomal RNA", at positions 354 to 796 of the family's 1533-position model. The record is from RNAcentral.
GUGGGGAAUAUUGCACAAUGGGGGGAACCCUGAUGCAGCGACGCCGCGUGAGUGAAGAAGUAUUUCGGUAUGUAAAGCUCUAUCAGCAGGGAAGAAAAUGACGGUACCUGACCAAGAAGCACCGGCUAAAUACGUGCCAGCAGCCGCGGUAAUACGUAUGGUGCAAGCGUUAUCCGGAUUUACUGGGUGUAAAGGGAGCGCAGGCGGUGCGGCAAGUCAGAUGUGAAAGCCCGGGGCUCAACCCCGGGACUGCAUUUGAAACUGCCGGACUAGAGUAUCGGAGAGGCAAGUGGAAUUCCUAGUGUAGCGGUGAAAUGCGUAGAUAUUAGGAGGAACACCAGUGGCGAAGGCGGCUUGCUGGACGACUACUGACGCUGAGGCUCGAAAGCGUGGGGAGCAAACAGGAUUAGAAACCCGAGUAGUCC